UAUAAAACCUAAAAUUAAAAUGUACAGAUGCACUAAUAUAUUCUAAAUGGGGAAUGACUUUUUCCAAAGCUGUAGCCUGAAAGGAAGUCAGAGAAGUAUCCAAGUGAAAAUUGAAUUCUCAUGUCUGUAUAUGCAAAUUGGAUCCUUACGUAGUCCAAAUUGUGCUGGGUUCCCACACCGGAUGUUGGUGGAUUUUCCUUGGCUACUGAAAGCCAACUUCUUGGCCUGACUUCAAAGCUGAUGGAAGUCUCUAGAAGCCCCAUUUGUUUUGCCUACUAAAAUUGUUGUGUUUUGGAGAAUGGACUUGCAGCCUAGGAUUCAUGAGCUGACACCUCUCAGCAUUUGAAAAGACCCCACAAGGGAACCAUUGGCACUCAAAUAAGGGUGGUUUACAAAGUUAUUUUCAUACAAUCUAUCAUUUUAUUACAGAAGUGACUUUCCUUCCAGGCCCUUGAACACAAAAAAGAACAUGCUGUUUCAAAGGCCAAAUAGAAUUCAGAAUCGAGCGUCAGUCAGUCAAACUGCUCAUUACCCACUUUAGGGCCAUGCUAAUCUUCUUCUUACCCAUUCUCUUCACCUAUGAUUAGUCUAGGGAUAAGGAAGUGACCUAGUUAUGACCAGUGAGAUUUGUGUGCCCUGAACUAAAGGAUCUGAAUUCCAAAGUUCAUUCCAAAGUUCAGUCUGGAGUUGUCUCUUAUGGAGCAAGUCUGUUAUGGGGACCUUCCUUCCAUCUCAGGACACUGAGAUAAGGUUGUGAUGCUGUAGCAAUAACAGCUACUUCAUGACCAUGAGGUAACAAAUAACAGAAUGAAAAUGCAGCGUGACAAGAGUGGUGGAGACACAGGAUAAGACGAUGCUUAGUCCUUAGUGAAGUCCCAGAGCUGCUGGACCAGCUCCAGAAUGACUUGCUCUCAAACUUCUUCUUCCAUGUCCUUAUCAAUUAAUCCACUAUUAUAUAUUCAAUUACUGGCAGAAAGUGCUCUUCUCCUUGAAAUGUCCUCUCCUCUGUACUGUGACUUUAGCCAAGUCAUUCAAUCAUUCAUGUCCUUCAUCUAUAAAGUGGUGAUAACGUUAUCUUUCCUGGGCUGUCUCUGUGACUAUUUCCUGAGGUUAUGUAUAAAACAUGGCUUUCUCAACUCCAGGCACAGUGAGAGGUAGUUAUUAAAAUAAUCACCCCUCAAUAAUGGACUUGCGGGUGGUGGCGAUUCCAGGCAAUUUGUGCUCAUGGAAUAAAUAGGUGUAACUCGGACACAAAUCACAACCCCUGUAUUAAUUAUGGCCUGACAUGAAUUGCCAGAUUUAAUCCUCAGAACAGCUUUGUGAUGAGUACAGUGUCCCCACCCAGAACAGAGAAGAUGAAAUGCUGACCUUGGAUUAGGCCCACUUAGGGGUAGAGACAGAGUUCUGCCCAGCAGGUUGCCCAGCGCCUCUGCUCUCUGCCCACGUUGUGGGACAGAUACGUUCCAGGCCCAGCUCAUGGGCUUUUGUGGCUGAUGCUCAUUUUCCAGAAAUGCAGUUGAAUGGAACAUGCCUAGACGCGGAAACCACGUCCCCCUUCAGACACCAACCCCAGACUCUCCUUGGUCUAAAGCCAGACUGGGAUCAGAAACCAGCAGCCGGUGGCAGCAGCUUCCCCCAAGCACAUCCAGUGUUUUUAUCUUUGAAUGUCUUCAGAUGGGACAUUCCUUGGCUGUAGUCCUGACCACACCUUUUCUCUCUAUCUGGUCCAUGCACAGGGACACCUCUGCCUUGCCUACUGAGGCCUUUUGAGUCCUAACACCUGAGCUUAGUCCUUCCUUUCCAAAGGGAAAAUACCACAAAUCAUGUCGAUAUUUUAAGAAAUGCGAGGCACGGGCAGACUACUCUGAUUCCCUUGCCAAAUUCCAACAGCUCUGCAUGUUGAUUCGUUGAUUGGCAGCUCUCUGCCUUGGUUGAGAUAAUACAAAGAUUAAAAUUCUCUAUUUGGAAAAAUUGGCUCACUGCAAACCAGUGGCGUGUACUACGUGAAGGAAGGGGAGGUAGCUUGUCCAUAAGCAUUCAGUAUUUUGGAGACAACUCCAUCUCCCUCCCCGACCCCGACACUGAGAACAAGGCUCUGAGCAGUCUGAUGUCUGGCUCCGCAGGGACAAACGCAGAGAGGCCCCUGGCUCGGCAGUGCGUCUGUUGGAGACAGGGGAUGGAACACCUGGGAUGAAAGGGCCCAGAGAGUCAAUAUUUUAGGAUUGGCGGGCCAUUUUUUGUCUGCAUCCAAUAUUUUCAUCUUUUAAUAGUUGUUUACAACCCUUUAGACACGUACAAACCAUCCUUAGCUCAGGGGCCAAGUAAAACAGGCACAGGGCUGGGUGGGUGGUCCUUUGCCAGCUCUUGCCUGGAAAACCGAGGGAAGGAAAAAUGCCUCCCGGCCAGUGGACUCCGUCCUGCUGCAGGGACCAUUAUAGUCGCAGAAACUGUCCCAGAUGUGACUGGGGCCACAGAAAUGGCAUGUGACCGUGCAAAAGCACAAGUUGGGGCCCGUGUGCUAGUACAUGGGAGAGUUCGUGCGAGCCCACCGCUGGCCACCCUUCUCCCCAGUAGGUGGUCAGAGGACGUUAGCCCACGAGCACUCCGCAGGCGCCAUCACCAACACAGCCGUAGCUCUGUGGUCAAGUUCAUUUUUCUCCUGGAAGCCCCAACUCCAGUCGAGUACCAAUGCAAGUGACUGGAGAGGUGGGAAAUGAGUUCUUGAGGAGGUGGAGUCCAGUAAACCAAGUGGCUUCUCUGCCUUCCUGCAAGGAGGACAGUUUCCCCACAGUUGCUAGGGACAAAGGCUGUGGAAUGGCAGGUGUCACAGCCACUGCCUCUAGGGUGGGACUCGAGGAAGUGAUGAUUCUUGAUUUCUGCACAGGCCAGGUGUGAUUUGCCAUUGUAGCAGACCAAAGA
RNAcentral lists this long non-coding RNA (2919 nucleotides) under Marmota monax (woodchuck). The record is from RNAcentral. Lineage: Eukaryota; Metazoa; Chordata; Mammalia; Rodentia; Sciuridae.